Molecule: long non-coding RNA, 230 nt
Filed under: Elaeis guineensis (African oil palm)
Lineage: Eukaryota; Viridiplantae; Streptophyta; Magnoliopsida; Arecales; Arecaceae
Description: long non-coding RNA (EGUI_LNC078761)
Source: RNAcentral
UUUCCUUGCAGGUUCCAACAGCGGCCGUGAUCCUCUCGACUCCAGCUUCUCCGACAUCGGUGGAAUUCUGCACCAACACAUACCAAAGAAGCUGAGACCAUUAGAUUACAGGCCAACAAAAUAUGUGAUAUACUAUAAUGGCUGUAACAUAAAUAGUUUCAAAUUUCAUAUCUUGUAAUAUAAAAAUUAUAAAAGCACAAUGAAUAGUGGUGUGUGUGUAAAGGGCAACU